This 360-nucleotide ribosomal RNA is filed under the name Bradyrhizobium sp. 4CBD. RNAcentral describes it as "bacterial SSU rRNA". It matches the Rfam family "Bacterial small subunit ribosomal RNA", at positions 396 to 773 of the family's 1533-position model. The record is from RNAcentral. Lineage: Bacteria; Pseudomonadati; Pseudomonadota; Alphaproteobacteria; Hyphomicrobiales; Nitrobacteraceae.
GCCGCGUGAGUGAUGAAGGCCCUAGGGUUGUAAAGCUCUUUUGUGCGGGAAGAUAAUGACGGUACCGCAAGAAUAAGCCCCGGCUAACUUCGUGCCAGCAGCCGCGGUAAUACGAAGGGGGCUAGCGUUGCUCGGAAUCACUGGGCGUAAAGGGUGCGUAGGCGGGUCUUUAAGUCAGGGGUGAAAUCCUGGAGCUCAACUCCAGAACUGCCUUUGAUACUGAGGAUCUUGAGUUCGGGAGAGGUGAGUGGAACUGCGAGUGUAGAGGUGAAAUUCGUAGAUAUUCGCAAGAACACCAGUGGCGAAGGCGGCUCACUGGCCCGAUACUGACGCUGAGGCACGAAAGCGUGGGGAGCAAAC